Molecule: ribosomal RNA, 467 nt
Filed under: uncultured bacterium
Lineage: Bacteria
Description: partial 16S ribosomal RNA
Rfam family: Bacterial small subunit ribosomal RNA
Source: RNAcentral
GACGAACGCUGGCGGCGUGCUUAACACAUGCAAGUCGAACGGAAAGGCCUCUUUCGGGGGGUACUCGAGUGGCGAACGGGUGAGUAACACGUGAGUAACCUGCCCUUUACUUUGGGAUAACUUCAGGAAACUGGGGCUAAUACCUGAUAGGAGCUCCUGCCGCAGGGUGGGGGUUGGAAAGUUUCGGCGGUUGGGGAUGGACUCGCGGCGUAGCGGCUUGUUGGUGGGGGAGUGGCUUACCAAGGCUUUGACGGGUAGCCGGCCUGAGAGGGUGACAGGCCACAUUGGGACUGACGUGCGGCCCAGACUCCUACGGGAGGCAGAAGUGGGGAAGAUUGAACCAUGGGUGGCAGCCGGAUGCAGCAACGCCGUGUGCGGGAUGACGGCCUUCGGGUUGUAAACCGCUUUCGCUCAUGACGAAGCUUUGUGUGACGGUAGUGGGUAAAGAAGCACCGGCUAACUACGUG